GCGGGGCCGCCCCACCAGCGCCUCGGCCGGGCGGGGAGCGCGGCGCUGCCCCCGGAGGCCGCGGCGGCUGUCGGGGCUGCCGUCUUGGGGCUGCCGUCAGGUGGAGUGGACACGUGGUACGGGACACUGCUUCUGUAUGUCCUUCCUCGCAGAAUCACUGAAUCGAUGGAGUUGCAAUGGCUGCCAUCUGCCAAACAAGUCAAACAGCAAGGCCUUUCUAGAGCAAACCUGCCACUGAACCCUGGCAGGACUUUUUACCUGGACAAACUUGCUCUUGAGGAUGGGAGUAGAAGUAAAAAGAACAUACUCUCCUUUGCUAAGUCUCUGAAUGUCAUACAUAAUGAGCAUCUGACUGUCCUGUACCUGUGUCCUCUGCUGUGUCUGCUGGUGAUGGGCCUGGGAGAAGCUUGGCCCAGUAUCUCCAUGAAUACAUGAGGAUGGUCUUGGCUGUCUGGCAGUUCUCCAAAGCAGUGCAACAGCAUCCUGAAAUGAGCAUAGCUGAAGAGGCUGUCAGCAACAGCAAGAAAUCUAGCUGGCAAGAAACCACAAGAAAAGAUCAGGUGUAAUAAGGAUACAGUCAAUGAUAUGUGGACAUGCAUCAAAGCUUCGCUCUUGCUGGUGACAUCAUAGCCUUCCGAUGACCAUGACAUCCACCACCUCCCCCUUGUGAAGCUCCACAUACUGCUCUGUCUUUGGAGGUAGCAUCAACAGUCCAUUGGCACUGCGCAUACUCAUCAGACGACUGCUCAUCUGAUUCCCUACAGGAGAGAGGAGGAACAAUUUCAGUGGAGUCUUCAGUUAGUUCCAAAUGUUGCAACAUAGUGCAACAAACAAAAGCUGUUAUGAUUAAAAUGUUUAUGUCUCUAAAUUAUUCAUGGAACUUGGAUCUUGCUGUUCCAAGGUGGAUGGAAACAGAAAGAACUCUGUGGAGAUUUAGUCAGCCUCUCACUGCACUGGCUCUCAAAACCAUCACUCUCGUUGCUGCUUGCUUUCCUAUCCAGCCUUCCACAUUAUCUGUACAUACACAUUAUCCCUGUAUAUUGUCCUAGUAAAUUGCUAAUCCUAUCAAAA
This is a long non-coding RNA of Motacilla alba alba, 1071 nucleotides long. RefSeq lists it as uncharacterized. NCBI's taxonomy places the organism in Eukaryota, Metazoa, Chordata, Aves, Passeriformes, Motacillidae. The record is from RefSeq and is a predicted model, not a curated record. The transcript is spliced from 5 exons.